GUCCGCCUCUCUUGAGAGAAGCCCAAACCCAAGAGGGCCACUCACGUCACAGAUGGUGGCAGGGGCUGCAGCCCCUCGGGAUGUCCCGAGGCUCUGCACGGCUGCAGCUGCAGGCCAGGCCUGGGCCCUCCACUGAGGAAACCCGAACCUGGGAGAGUGUGAGCCACUACUCAAGGUCACAGGGCUAAUCACAAAGCCAAGAGGACUCACUGCUCCUUAUUCUCAGGCUGCCCCUCGGCCCACGAGAUCAAGAAUGCCAGCGAUCUGAUGUGUGUCCAAACUGGGACGGUGACUCGCACCAUGAGCUGCAGGCUUGUGCCACGGUGAGCGCCUACGUGCCCCACAGUGAGCUCCUACUUGUGCCACGGUGAGCGCCUACUUGUGCCACGGUGAGCGCCUACUUGUGCCACGGUGAGCGCCUACUUGUGCCACGGUGAGCGCCUACUUGUGCCAUGGUGAGCGUCUACAUGCUCCAUGGUGAUCUCCUACAUUGCCAUGCAUGACACAGGGCUUCUCAGGACUGAAAGGAACUUGGAGUGACCCUGGUGCCUUCUGGAUAUCGAGUCCCCUCCCUGCUGGCUGUUCAGUUGUUCCUCUGCAGAUCUCACCAGCAGUACACAGUGCUUUCUUCUGGGACAAUAGGGCCACUCGACAGCUCAUAUGGUGGCUCAUAUGGUUGAGCUGAAACCAGGCCCUGAACCAACCCGCUCCCCUCCUCUGCCCUGAGCCCUUCCCAGCUGACUGCAGGCACCAGGCAGGGUAGCUCAGCCUGCCCACCUCAGCUGCCCCACGGCUGCACACAGCUGCCAUCAGGCUUUCCUCACCUCUUGGUGGCUUCUGGGUCAUCGUCCCCUGUGCUAUGUGCCCUCAGAGCUCCACUCCUCUUCACGCCAGGCUGUUUCGCUGAUGGCGGCUUCCAGGCCACCUGCACCAUGAAAUCACUGAACCRUCUCUUCAGCAGAGGCCAGAAUAGAGGGGCGAGAGCAGAGUGACCAUGGACAUGGCACGUCCAGCCGGUCACGAGAAGUCAGCCCACACAGCAUGGUCUUGUGGCCGAGCACGGGAAGCCCAAUGUCACCGURUCUGUGAGUCAGCAGCAGCCUACCCUACUUUGAUCAAGAAGACUUAGAAGGUUCUUCAGGAUUCUGUUUUCAAAAACAAUCCUCGUUGUUCUUCGAACAUAGUUUCUAGAAUGUCUGGGUACUCAUAUCCAGAAAGCUCUCCAGCCUUGGAUUCCUCUCUUGGGAGCAAAUUGUUGCUGAGUGCUGUGCUAAGUAGGCCACUUCCGUGGAUCGUUUUGUUUGACCUUCAAAAUGGCGCUGAUCCUCUCUGAGUYGUUGGAACUCGAGACCCAGGAAGCUGGGGGUCCCCGGUGCACAGCCGUGGUGCAGGCCCCAUCCUCCCGGGCAGGGCCUCAUUAUCACUCAAAGCUUCAAAGGUAUGGCACCUGGAGGUGGUGCUUGCUACCUAGUACUUCCACAACACUCACUGUGAAGUAAAAACAGAGUUACACCCAAGAAUUGGGGGAAAUCAAGGGUGAAGACCAGCUGCAGGCUGCUCCUUGCAGGAAGCUGAUGGGAACUCGGUCUCUGGUCCUCCACAGUGGCUUCUGUUGGUAAUGACAUGAGACCCAGGUUUCUGGAACACUGCAGGGGGACAGAAGCCAUCCACAGAUCCUCCCAGGGGGACUGGCCUUCUUUCAGGCACCAGUUUCUUGGCUCUGGGCUACGGGUCCCCAUUCCCUCUCUCUUGUACCCUACCAUGUCCCCAGCACUCAAGAGUGUGAAGCUAACACCUCGGUGAGCACCUGCUACCUUCCUGUUUGUGUGAGAAGCUGGGACAGGAGAGGGAAGGGCAGGGGUGGCCCUGCCAGGGAGCCCAGGGCCCAGGGGAGAGAGUACCCACAAGGCCAGCACAYCCCCAGAGCUUAGGUGGACACACCAUAGGAGAGAUCCAGUUGCAGAGGUCGUCCAAGGCCCCUCACCCUCAGCUGGGCACCCCAGUGCUGCCUGCUCAGCACAGCCCCACACAUGCACCUCUGGAACCCAGCCACGUGGACUGCCCUAGACACCAGUCAGGUCCACAGCCCAAGAUAUACUUCUGCUGGUGUGAGCCUCCUGGGAAGUGCAGAGGUGGGUGGUGAGUGCAUGCCAAGGGGUGAGCAGGAGGGAGAGAGUGAGGGGCAGGGGGACUGAGAGCCCCUUUCCUUUUUAGAUGUCUGAGACAGGAGUGGAGGUCAGAUUCCUGUGUGCACUUCCUCCUGGGACCCUCUGGGGUCCUGCUGGCUGAAGAGACUGACACGAGAAGGCCCCGGGCUCCUGACCUGUCUGCUGGGGAGAGGUCAGGGGGAAGAGAUGAGGCUGGGCCGACAGGGAGAUGGCCCCGGGUCACUUCCUGGGCAGACAGCACCAGCUGCACCAGCAGAUACUUGCUAAGAAACUUACAGAAAGCCUGCAUUUAAAUCAGGGCCCACAUGACUGGGUCCAUGCUGCUCCGAGAAGGAAAAAUGCCCGAUGGAUAUUUUGAUGGGUGCAUGAACACCUCGUGGACACUGAGUGCCUCACCCAGGGUUGAUGGGUCUACAUCAACCCCUGGCCAGUAGCCACUCUGGGGCAUCCCUCUCUUGGGACCCUCCCCUCUUUGGGAGC
Molecule: non-coding RNA, 2648 nt
Organism: Urocitellus parryii (Arctic ground squirrel)
Lineage: Eukaryota; Metazoa; Chordata; Mammalia; Rodentia; Sciuridae
Source: RefSeq, a predicted model, not a curated record